UACGAGGGAUGCAAGCGUUAUCCGGAAUUAUUGGGCGUAAAGCGUCCGCAGGUGGCUCUGUAAGUCUGUCGUUAAAGAAUGGGGCUCAACCCCAUACAGGCGAUGGAAACUACAAGGCUAGAGUUUGGUAGGGGUCACGGGAAUUCCUAGUGUAGCGGUGGAAUUCGUAGAUAUUAGGAAGAACACCAGUGGCGAAGGCGGCUCACUGGUCCGGUACUGACGCUGAGGUGCGAAAGCGUGGGGAGCAAACAGG
Molecule: ribosomal RNA, 253 nt
Filed under: uncultured bacterium
Lineage: Bacteria
Description: partial 16S ribosomal RNA
Rfam family: Bacterial small subunit ribosomal RNA
Source: RNAcentral